This 253-nucleotide ribosomal RNA is filed under the name uncultured prokaryote. RNAcentral describes it as "partial 16S ribosomal RNA". It matches the Rfam family "Bacterial small subunit ribosomal RNA", at positions 523 to 775 of the family's 1533-position model. The record is from RNAcentral.
AUACGUAGGCAGCGAGCGUUGUUCGGAGUUACUGGGCGUAAAGCGUGCGUAGGCGGUGUCCUAAGUUUGGUGUGAAAUCUCCCGGCUCAACUGGGAGGGUGCGCCGAAAACUGGGGUGCUGGAGUGUGGGAGAGGUAGGCGGAAUUCCUGGUGUAGCGGUGAAAUGCGUAGAUAUCAGGAGGAACACCUGUGGUGUAGACGGCUUACUGGACCAUGACUGACGCUGAGGCACGAAAGCGUGGGGAGCAAACAG